AGCUUCGUAGCUCAGUGGAAGAGCGUUGGGCUCAUAACCCAAAGGUCCCUUGAUCGAGACGAGGCGAAGCUA
Molecule: transfer RNA, 72 nt
Filed under: Tilletia horrida
Lineage: Eukaryota; Fungi; Basidiomycota; Exobasidiomycetes; Tilletiales; Tilletiaceae
Description: tRNA-iMet
Rfam family: tRNA
About the family: Transfer RNA (tRNA) molecules are approximately 80 nucleotides in length. Their secondary structure includes four short double-helical elements and three loops (D, anti-codon, and T loops). Further hydrogen bonds mediate the characteristic L-shaped molecular structure. tRNAs have two regions of fundamental functional importance: the anti-codon, which is responsible for specific mRNA codon recognition, and the 3' end, to which the tRNAs corresponding amino acid is attached (by aminoacyl-tRNA synthetases). tRNAs cope with the degeneracy of the genetic code in two manners: having more than one tRNA (with a specific anti-codon) for a particular amino acid; and 'wobble' base-pairing, i.e. permitting non-standard base-pairing at the 3rd anti-codon position.
Source: RNAcentral